Molecule: long non-coding RNA, 1449 nt
Organism: Phyllostomus discolor (pale spear-nosed bat)
Lineage: Eukaryota; Metazoa; Chordata; Mammalia; Chiroptera; Phyllostomidae
Exons: 2
Source: RefSeq, a predicted model, not a curated record
GCAAAGUGCUGCACAAAUAAUCUGGGGAAUAAAAUAAACAGACUCCCUCCCCUUUUGGAGCUUUUGAUAAGAUAUAAAGUAAUUGAUAUAGUAUGUGAUAAUCUUUUUAUUGCCUGUUAUGUGUCAGAUAAUUCAUUUCACUUCACAUCCUUUAUCUCCUUUAAUCUCAACAUACAGAAAAUUAGUUGUUCUCUUGAUGGUAUAUUAUUCAGGAAUUUUAAAUGAUGUUGAUGAACAUGCAGAUACAUUUUGAUAAUAGUGCAUUACAAACACAAGGUAAAAACAAGCGGAAAAAAGCUAUGCAUAACAACUAAAUGGAAAACGGUCUAGAUAGUGAUAAUUUUUUCUACCUUUUAAAUGUCCUAUUAUGAACAUGUAUCUCUCCUAUAGUGAGAGAAUUAAUGAUUUAUUUUAUCUGUGGCAGCCAAAGAGCAAUUCUUUUCUAACUUUGGGACACUGAUGCACAAUACAAUGAACAUUUAGUGAAGAGAGAUGAGUAUGAGAUGGUGACACUGGAGGAGGCUUCACGAAGCAAUCUAGGGCCCCCUGAGUACUUUGGAGGAAGGAGAAGAUUCCAUAAGAAUGUGGAGGUAUGAUAUUCUAGGAGAAAGAACUUGUACAGCAGCAACUAGAGCUGGACCAUUUGUGAAACAAGAUAAUACUAACUUGCUCAUAUGCUGGCUGUAAGAAUCCAGUGAGGUGGUGUGCGGGACAUCACGUCUAGAUGAGAGAUGCUCAGGAUGGUUUUAUUAGUCCUCAUGACGAUGCUGACAGUGAGAAUAGAGAAGCGAGAUGAACUCCAAACAGACUCCAAAAGAGUGAAUGGCAAACUCGUUAACAGUCUGGUUCUGUAAAUGGACAUAAGAGUACCAAAUAGGUCUUUAGUGUUUCUCACCUCAGGGAUCAGAAAGAGGGUAUCCAAGCCAAGAAAGCAAGACAAGGAGCUGGUAUUAGGUGAAGGUGAUGAGACAAGUUUAAGACAUUUGGCAUUAAAAAAUUUAGGAAGAUGUUCACCAAAUAGUGAAUAGCCAUUAAAUCUUGUUGGGCCUGGAACACAGGCGAGUUCACAGUUAGAUUUGGAAAUUAUCAGCAUAAAAGAAGCAUUGGUUUUGGUUGACUUGAGCCUUGGGAGGUUACCUGUGGUUUAAGGUAGGACAGGGGAAAAGAUGCCAGGUAAGGAGGCAAAGGAAGAGUGCUCAGUGAAAUGGGGAAUAUGGCGAGAUGAGUUGGCAUCACAGAAACAAGAGGAGAAAUCCUUUCCUUUACCUGCUUUAGACUCCUCCUCUUAGUCUAUAAGCUCCGUUGAGUGCAACCUGGAACUCUUUCUCCUCUCCUCCCUUCCCUUAUAUACAGAGGCUAUGGAAUAGGAGAAAACCCACUGGCCCCUUCCCCUAUGCAUUAAAUAAAAUCCUCUAUUUACCCUUUUCUGCCCUCCCAUUUCUUUUCACU